GUCCUUACGUUAUAGGACGGGUCAUUAUAAAUUAUGCCUUUCGAUUAUCGCAACGCCUCGUCGCGUUUGGUUAAGCACAUGGUGGAACAGUAUGCACAUCACUGUACCUAACGUACUGUACACCUGUGAGCGGCAUGACGAGACAAAAGACGGUAAAACUCAUUAUUAAUCGGUGAUGCUGUACAUUCUGGAUGAUGCACAGCCACAUUUUAUAAUACUGUUUUUUAUUUUCGUGUCGCGCCGCUCGCGUUCAAUAUAAAGUUAGACAAUACGCAAUUAAUUACUGGGAGAGUAGUGGUCUAAUGUUAAGAGUCGAACUUCACGAACCUUUCACUCCAGUAAGGCUAAAGUGCUACGUGAAUAAGAUUAGUGUAGUUUUGUGCUACUAGCUGUAAAGUGUUUUUGCACUAUUGAGUUAUAAAUACUGCCCAGUAAUACUUAACUAGAUGUAAAUCACAAUUCUUGUGUCAAUGUUUGUUUGUAAUCUUUUUCAGCUAUCCAUCUGAAAAAGAAAAGCUGGCACUCUCAAAGGAGAUUGUGUUUUUGGAUUAUGGUCUCAUUUGGUCAAAAAGAGGGACAUGUACCGAGCAUUUUUUUUUUUUUUUUUUUUUGAUGGGCCAUCACACAGUGGAUUUAUAAAAAUGAGAUUACAGAACAUCAGACGGUAGCUUCAACAGAGUUGAAGUGGGAGGACAUCAUCAAUUAAGAAUGCCAUUGACCAAACCUUCAGUCAUCAAAGAAGAUGGAUACAGGGGGACAUCCAGUUUUCCAGACUUACCGAUGGGAAAGAAGAAAUGGGAAUGUGACAAUUAUUGAGAAACUCAGGGAAAAAGCAUCUUUAGAGAAGAAAAUGGACAUCAGACAUUUAUUGAAGAAAGCUGACAGUCAACAUAAUGAUGAGAGCUGUGUUAUACAAUGUUAAGGAUACUCGUUCAUCUUCUGCUGUGUGAAUUCUGCUGUGUCAGUCCUGUGGGACUUGAUGCCGGCUGGUAGCAGUGUGACGUCUUUGCUUACUAAAUGAUCAAAGGGUGUCUGAAAUCAGCUCAGCCACAGUUGGUUUUCAACGGUUCUUCAGGACAUGGAGGCCACUACGUAACUGUUGCAAUGAACGAUUAUUUUGCCUUUCCACCUGAUGUUGACAAUCUGACCUGUGCGGUACUGAAAACCACUUGCACUGACAUAUCUUAAAAUAUAUCAGUGUCCUUUGUUUUGCCUCAAAAUGCACACCAGUAAUGUUUUUUGUUGAAACCAGUUAUAUUUCCUAAUUAAACUAAGGCCUAGUCCUGGAUUAAGCUAAUCCACUGUCCGGGAAACCGCCCCUAAAUGUUUUGUGACGGAAAUUUCUUUGAAUACACUUGUCAAGUUCAUUUUAAGUAUUUUUCUAAAUUUAAGAUAACAUGUUAAUGUUUCAGGACAAGUUAAACAUUUUUGAUAAUUUGCAUGUUGGAAACGAUUUCAGACAUUGUUCUAUUCAACAUG
Misgurnus anguillicaudatus (oriental weatherfish) is the source of this 1479-nucleotide non-coding RNA. Lineage: Eukaryota; Metazoa; Chordata; Actinopteri; Cypriniformes; Cobitidae. The record is from RefSeq and is a predicted model, not a curated record.